GGGCGCUGGGGCGGCCCCUCCGCAGCGCCGGGAGGGGUGAGCGGCGGCCCGCGGCGGGAGACGAGCCGCUGCUUCCAGACGAUCCGUCUGGAUCCAGCCCCGGCAGGUACCUGGACGUUGCAGGUGCUUACAGCUGUCAGGAGCUGGCUCCAAAACACAUUUCCACUAGGUACUGGCAUGGGGCUUUUAUCUGGAAUUUGCUGUAUAGAAAGCUGCCUCAGCUUUUUGAUAAGCAGACAUGGCUGUCACGCUGCAUACUGAUGUAGGAGAUAUUAAAAUUGAACUAUUCUGUGAGCGUACUCCAAAGACCUGUGAAAAUUUCCUGGCUCUUUGUGCUAGUAACUACUACAAUGGAUGCGUAUUUCACCGAAAUAUAAAGGGCUUCAUGGUUCAGACAGGGGAUCCAUUAGGCACUGGGAAAGGAGGUAACAGCAUCUGGGGCAAGAAGUUUGAAGAUGAAUUCAGUGAAUACCUAAAGCACAGUGUCCGUGGGGUAGUUUCAAUGGCAAACAAUGGUCCGAACACCAAUGGAUCCCAGUUCUUCAUCACUUACGGCAAACAGCCGCACCUGGACAUGAAGUACACGGUGUUUGGAAAAGUUAUUGAUGGCUUGGAGACCCUGGAUGAGCUGGAGAAGCUGCCUGUGAAUGAGAAAACCUACCGACCUCUUAAUGAUGUUCGUAUUAAAGAUAUUACAAUCCAUGCCAACCCUUUUGCUCUGUAGCCACAGAGGCCUCAACACAUUCUUUAGAGACUGGUCAGACCAACUCCCAGAUCAUGGGAUUUAAGGAGCCAUUAAAAAGGGUUACUUGAGCUGGAUCAAGUGAGAGCAAUGUCAUAAAUCGAUGAAACCUUUCUCUCGCAGAGGAUUUAAGAACAUACUUGUACUGCUGUGUUGAAAUAGCAACCUCUUCAACCUCCCAAAAAGGUAGAUGGAAAAUAAUUUCUUCUGCUUCUGGCACAGUGCUAUAGCUGGGGAAUUGCAGGUGAACUAAUUGGCCUGACCGGGAUAAAAGAAAAAGACCACUUUGGAGAAGCUGCUACAAUGCUGAGAAGGAAAAGGCCCACAGUUCAGAAGUGCACAGGAGAAAAAGUGCUGCAAACUUGAUCUUUCUGAAACUCCUGACAGAUGAGAUUGUUGCUGUUUUGGGUGAAGGUACUUCCGGAGUAGUGGAAUGCAUCAAUCGCAAAGCUCACUGUGCCCAGAUGUUGGAAUGGUUUGAGCACCACGGACACCAUAUGCAUUGUUUCUGAGCUCAUGGGACAGCACCUUUGACUUGCAUUGAAGAGAAUGCUCUCUGCCAUUUAAGCUGGAUCACAUUAGACAGAUGGCAUAUCAGACCUUCAGAUCUGUGAACUGUAAGGAUGCUUCCUUUUUGCUUUAUUUGUUAUGUGAAUAAAAACGUCUCUUGAUUUCCUUUCAGAGGU
This is an RNA transcript of Chiroxiphia lanceolata (lance-tailed manakin), 1428 nucleotides long. It is a transcript of the gene named peptidylprolyl isomerase like 3, with no coding region annotated. The transcript is spliced from 12 exons. Lineage: Eukaryota; Metazoa; Chordata; Aves; Passeriformes; Pipridae. The record is from RefSeq and is a predicted model, not a curated record.